GAUGAAGAACGCAGCGAAAUGCGAUAAGUAAUGUGAAUUGCAGAAUUCAGUGAAUCAUCGAAUCUUUGAACGCACAUUGCGCCCCUUGGUAUUCCGAGGGGCAUGCCUAUUCGAGCGUCAUUAUCACCCCUCAAGCCUAGCUUGGUGUUGGACGGUUUGGUGGAGGCCCCCUCGGGGGCUCCUGCCCCUCCCAAAGACAGUGACGGCGGCCUCGUUGGACCCCCGGUACACUGAGUUCUUCACGGGACACGUAUCGGACACAUGGGUUUACGGGACACGGUCUGCCUCCCCUCAGGGAGAAUCUUUCUAAGGUUGACCUCGGAUCAGGUAGGGAUACCCGCUGAACUUAAGCAUAUCAAUAAGCGGAGGA
This 370-nucleotide unclassified non-coding RNA is filed under the name soil metagenome. Its description in RNAcentral is "partial contains 5.8S ribosomal RNA, internal transcribed spacer 2, and large subunit ribosomal RNA". The stretch from base 1 to 120 matches the Rfam family "5.8S ribosomal RNA", at positions 35 to 154 of the family's 154-position model. The record is from RNAcentral.